This 789-nucleotide unclassified non-coding RNA is filed under the name Leishmania donovani. Its description in RNAcentral is "gene:LdHU3.27.0140(CDS-product:hypothetical_prote in_conserved)". The record is from RNAcentral. Lineage: Eukaryota; Euglenozoa; Kinetoplastea; Trypanosomatida; Trypanosomatidae.
UCCCUUGCGAGAGCAUACGCUCAACCACAGCGGAGACGUCCAUUUUAUCUUGUUGAGGCUACUUUGCUUUGCAGUCAUGCUGCGUCGAACCACUGCUCGCUUUUACCAGAGCGUGACCGCUCCCAUUGGAAAGGGUUGCGUUGUGCCCAUGAAGUUCGACAGCCUGAAGCCUGCGUACGUGCCCAAGUCCUUCACCACUCAGUUUUUCGUUCUGGGCACAUGGUCGAUUAGCAACAUGAUCACUAACUUUGUGAUCGGGUUCCUCAUCAUCGCCUCCGCCAACGGUGGCUUGAGCGGUGCCUGGCCCCCGGAUCCACACUCUCUUCACCCCUGAAAAGGUGCGUUCUAUGCGCGCCUGCGUCGCUUCGUGUGUCUGCGCCUAUGUGCGUGUGUCUCUUUUCACGUUUGAAGGGAGAGGUAGGAUUUAAACAAAGUGGGCGAUGGACCCUCGUGUCUCCAAGUCGGAGAAGGCCUUCUCCACGCAUUUUUUUGCGGUUUCGUUCCACUAGUACUCGUAGGAUAUUUGCCAGAUAACAAGCGCAGGCAGAGGAAUGAAAUAAAUCUUGGCUGCGGGUGUGUGCUACAUUGGAGCGUUGCGAUACGACACGUGGCCCCUCCCUCUCCUCAUCGCUGGAGGGUUGUGUGUGCAUGCAGGGGAGAGUAGACGCCGACACACAAGCGCACAUGUGGCGCCGUAGCCCUCUUGCCACUGCAGGGAUCGUAAUAGGAGGAGGGCGGCGAAAACGCCAUCUACCUCGACGAUGUGACUUUCUUUGAGGCGCCGACCAG